Molecule: ribosomal RNA, 276 nt
Filed under: uncultured Eubacteriales bacterium
Lineage: Bacteria; Bacillati; Bacillota; Clostridia; Eubacteriales
Description: uncultured Clostridiales bacterium partial 16S ribosomal RNA
Rfam family: Bacterial small subunit ribosomal RNA
Source: RNAcentral
UUGACUUUUCGGAGGAUUUCAUUUGUGACUGAGCGGCGGACGGGUGAGUAACGCGUGGGUAACCUGCCUCAUACAGGGGGAUAACAGUUAGAAAUGACUGCUAAUACCGCAUAAGCGCACAGUACCGCAUGGUACAGUGUGAAAAACUCCGGUGGUAUGAGAUGGACCCGCGUUUGAUUAGCUAGUUGGUGGGGUAACGGCCUACCAAGGCGACGAUCCAUAGCCGGCCUGAGAGGGUGAACGGCCACAUUGGGACUGAGACACGGCCCAGACUCC